GACGAACGCUGGCGGCGUGCUUAACACAUGCAAGUCGAACGGAAAGGCCCUGCUUGCAGGGUACUCGAGUGGCGAACGGGUGAGUAACACGUGGGUGAUCUGCCCUGCACUUCGGGAUAAGCCUGGGAAACUGGGUCUAAUACCGGAUAGGAGCCAUUUUUAGUGUGAUGGUUGGAAAGUUGUUUCGGUGUAGGAUGAGCUCGCGGCCUAUCAGCUUGUUGGUGGGGUAAUGGCCUACCAAGGCGGCGACGGGUAGCCGGCCUGAGCGGGUGGACGGCGACAGCUGGAGCAGUGUCCGUCCAAGACGCCGUCGUGAGACGGAAGGGGGUAGGAUGGACGCAGGGGCACACGCUGUGUGCGGCGAGGCCGUGGGGGGGGGUGUGGUCUUCGUUGUUAACAUUCCGGUCGGUGGGGAAUAAGGGUUUUGUUGCUUUCCAUAUAUAAGCAGCAACGGCUAACCACGGCCCGGGAGCGGGGUUGAUGACGGCAGAGCCACGGCCGAAC
This 504-nucleotide ribosomal RNA is filed under the name uncultured bacterium. RNAcentral's name for it is "partial 16S ribosomal RNA". The stretch from base 20 to 328 matches the Rfam family "Bacterial small subunit ribosomal RNA", at positions 47 to 358 of the family's 1533-position model. The record is from RNAcentral.